AGAUAAUGAUGUAUCUUUAAGUAUUUUUUGUUGUUAAGAAAAUUUUGUACUUGUUUUACUGUUACGAAACAUUGACAAUGUUUCGGUUAAUGGCGUUUCUUAGAAACGAAGCCUUCCUAGUUUCGUUUAUGUUCGUUCUAUUAUAUAAUUCUGGAUCAGUUACAAGUUACGGUAUACGAUGUAAGUACUUAAUUAUAUUGAUAUUUGUUAAUUAUAAUCAAAUAAUUCAUAUAAUGUAUUAGCAUAUCUGUUAGGUAUCUGCUGAGAGUAUCUCUUUUGUAUUCUUGACUUUGCAUUUCCUCUAGACUUUACGCGGACAUCUAUAUUUUACGUAUGUCUUUCUGUAUUUAUUCGGAAAUUACACAAAUGCAACCUGAUAUCCGUCAAAGCUAAGUGAUAAUAUAUCCUCUUUAAAAGAGGGACGAAAGAUACCGAAGGGACAGUCAAACUCAUAAAUCGAAAACAAACUGACAACGCCAUGGCUAAAAAUGAAAAACACAAACAGAAAAACAACAGUACACAUGACACAACAUAGAAAACUAAAGAAUAAACAACACGAACCCCACCAAAAUAGGGGUGAUCUCAGGUGAUCCGAAGGGUGAGCAGAUCCUGCUCCACAUGUGCACCCGUCGUGUUGCUUAUGUGAUUAACAUUCGCUGAAACUACUGUAAAUAAAAGGAAAUAAAGCAAGUUUACUUUGGGUUUGUUUUGUUUUCAAGUUCUUUUUAGAAUCAAUUUACUAUUUUUUUUCUUUUCACUUCCCUUUUUUUCGGAAAGAAAACCAUGUAACACCCCUACAAAAUAAUUCUUUGCUAGGAACUAUUGCGGUUAUGGAAAGUUAUGCUCUACGAAAAAGGUAAAAUGUCGCAUUUUCAUUUCUAAACAAUUCGACAAUGUCAGGAGUUGUGCGUCAAAGAAACGUUUCAAAAAUGCUGGAGUGUUUUUAGAGUGGGUGGUUAAAAUAUGUUUCGUAGAAUAUACACUAGUGUUUUAUCUUUAUAAAAAAAAACGGUAUAUAUUAGUGUUGUCAAGGUUAACCGAUUAACCGGUCAACCAUUCAAACGACCGAAUACCGAAUAGCAAAAACGCUAACCGGUUAAUCGGACUUUUUUUCAAUUUUAGUAGAUUUGAUAUUGAAAUCAUUAUCAAAUAGGUAUGUUUUAUUUAAAAAUUGUCGUCGUGGUAAUUAAUAUGACAGAUCAAUUGUCCAGUAUAUUGAUUGCUAUUGUUAAUAAAAAAAAACAACAUAAAGUUAAUUAUAUAGAACUUGUCGAGUUCGGGGCAAGAUCUUAAUGAAACAUAAUUAGUGUACAUGUUUUUUAGCCGUUACUUUAAAUCAGUAAUAUGAUUAAAUUUUACGAUUUACUUCAUUAUUUUAUGUUGAAUCUAAUAUUGUAUAGACUUACAUCUAAAUGUGCAACCUCCGUCGUUCAAGCUAAGGCAUGGUCAUACUUUAAACGAAAUGCUAACUAAAAAAUUGUGAAAUGCAAACCAGUGUGAAUGAUAUUAAUAUAAACUUGAUAGUACGAGUAACACGUUUUUAAGUAAAAUAAUUUCAAAUUGAAAUACUCGACAUUUUUUUCGAAAACAUCAAGAGAAAAAAGAAAGUAUUUUUUUUUUUAUUUUUCGAUUUGAAAUUAGUACACACGCCAUAGCUGAUACGGUAUAUUUGAUUAUGAAUAGUCAAACUUCGCCAGGAAUCCUCACGGACAAGCUUUAUAAUGCCAAAAAAACAAACUUCAAUUCAUCGUUUAAUGAAAACGUAACUUCACACAUCAAAUAGUGAAUAAAUGUGAAUCUCUAACGGUAAUUUUUAUCUCAAUUAUCUCAACAGCCCUUAAAAGACUGAACUAAGUUACAAUGGAUUACAGAAUGAACAGUCACAUUUAAGAUAAACUCAUCAUAGAUACCAGGACUAAAUUUUGUAUAUACGCCAGACGCGCGUUUGUCUACAAAAGACGCUCGAAUCAAUAAAAGUUAAAAAGGCCGAAUAAAGUACGAAGUUGAAGAGCAUUGAGGACCAAAAUUCCUAAAAGUUUUAUCUUAUGUACAUGUAGUAGAUUCAGUACUGUUCAGAAUUUUCGUUUGCAGUCAAUAAAAAUAAGGUUAAAACUGACCAGUCUGUAUAUAUUUAUUAAGAAUAUUUGUAAUUUGUUGAACAUUUAAAAUCGUGGUUCCCUUGUAUCCACAAAAUCCAUGAUAUUGGUUUCACAAAUAUUGAUGAAUCCACAGUAACAAUUGUUUCGACUUUCAGAUUAUAUAAAGGUUAAAAUGGCUGUAUAAACAAUUGUCUUUAAGAAUGAUGAUUGUUUAAACAGGUGUUACUUUCCUCAAAAAUGUAGUGGAAAAUAGUUCUAAGUGGGUAUUUUCUACUUGUAAUACCAAUGCGUUAAUGAUCUAUUAUUUAUCAAUAUUAUAUUUAGUUGUCAAUAAUCAGCCAAAUUAUUUGAGAUCAUAAUCAAAAUUGCAUUUCUUGUAUACAAGUCAAGCAUCGGCAAAAUACAAUAAAAACAUAUUUAUAUAUUAUAUAUGUGCUCAUUAUAAUGCCGGAAAGCAUGGUAAGUGUAACCGUAAUUGGUAUACGGUAAAAAAUCAUUUAAAUUUUUGUUCCAGAUUGAUCAAACGUUUAUUAAAAUAAAUCUUAUUAUUUAUGUUACUUUAUCAGCUGUUUUCAGCCUUUUUUAUUACGCAUAUGAGAACAAUAUAUAUAUAUAAAUGUGCUCAAUCUGCCUGAGGCUAAAUGAAGUUGUCGUGAUAUAAAUAAACUCAUCAUAGAUACCAGAAUUAAAUUUAGUUUUUACGCCAUACGCACGUUUCGUAUACAAAAGACUCAUCAGUUUCGCUCCAAUCCAAAAAAAGGUUAAAAGACCAAAUAAAGUACCCAUUCACUUUACAUGAAGGUGACACUUCACACAUAUCUUUUUUGUUUUGAUUAUUUCAUAAACAAUAAUAUUUUGUCUAACUUUAAGUACAAGAAUCGCCAUUUGUGACAGAAGCAACAGGAACCCCAGGUGGAUUUGUAGGAGCAUGUGCUGCCUGCAGAGCUGUUUGUGAUUGCGCAUGUGUCAGACGAACCUGUACUGAUACAUCUUGUUGUGGAGAAGGAGGAUUUGCACCUGGUACAGCAAUAUCAUCUCUAGGUUAUAGACAGGAUAUCUUUGGAGAUCCCUGGUUCAGAUUCCUGUUAUCUUUACGACAAAAAUGGCGUAAUCAUGUCAAACAUGCUCAGUGGGGCUUAUUUGGAAACAAGAACUUACUUACACUUUAAAUUGCAAUUAAAGAAAGUACUAAG
This 3292-nucleotide long non-coding RNA is filed under the name Mytilus galloprovincialis (Mediterranean mussel). Lineage: Eukaryota; Metazoa; Mollusca; Bivalvia; Mytilida; Mytilidae. The record is from RNAcentral.